RNAcentral lists this transfer RNA (72 nucleotides) under Parcubacteria group bacterium SW_4_49_11. RNAcentral's name for it is "tRNA-Gln". It matches the Rfam family "tRNA". Rfam says of the family: Transfer RNA (tRNA) molecules are approximately 80 nucleotides in length. Their secondary structure includes four short double-helical elements and three loops (D, anti-codon, and T loops). Further hydrogen bonds mediate the characteristic L-shaped molecular structure. tRNAs have two regions of fundamental functional importance: the anti-codon, which is responsible for specific mRNA codon recognition, and the 3' end, to which the tRNAs corresponding amino acid is attached (by aminoacyl-tRNA synthetases). tRNAs cope with the degeneracy of the genetic code in two manners: having more than one tRNA (with a specific anti-codon) for a particular amino acid; and 'wobble' base-pairing, i.e. permitting non-standard base-pairing at the 3rd anti-codon position. The record is from RNAcentral.
UCGGGGGUCGUCUAAUUGGUAGGACAGCGGUUUCUGGGACCGUAAGUCGGGGUUCGAGUCCCUGCCCCCGAG